AUUGAACGCUGGCGGCAGGCCUAACACAUGCAAGUCGAGCGGAUGAAGGGAGCUUGCUCCUGGAUUCAGCGGCGGACGGGUGAGUAAUGCCUAGGAAUCUGCCUGGUAGUGGGGGAUAACGUCCGGAAACGGGCGCUAAUACCGCAUACGUCCUGAGGGAGAAAGUGGGGGAUCUUCGGACCUCACGCUAUCAGAUGAGCCUAGGUCGGAUUAGCUAGUUGGUGGGGUAAAGGCCUACCAAGGCGACGAUCCGUAACUGGUCUGAGAGGAUGAUCAGUCACACUGGAACUGAGACGCGGUCCAGACUCCUACGGGAGGCAGCAGUGGGGAAUAUUAGACAAUGGGCGAAAGCCUGAUCCAGCCAUGCCGCGUGUGUGAAGAAGGUCUUCGGAUUGUAAAGCACUUUAAGUUGGGAGGAAGGGCAGUAAGUUAAUACCUUGCUGUUUUGACGUUACCAACAGAAUAAGCACCGGCUAACUUCGUG
Molecule: ribosomal RNA, 484 nt
Filed under: uncultured bacterium
Lineage: Bacteria
Description: partial 16S ribosomal RNA
Rfam family: Bacterial small subunit ribosomal RNA
Source: RNAcentral